Molecule: ribosomal RNA, 1276 nt
Filed under: Paenarthrobacter sp.
Lineage: Bacteria; Bacillati; Actinomycetota; Actinomycetes; Micrococcales; Micrococcaceae
Description: bacterial SSU rRNA
Rfam family: Bacterial small subunit ribosomal RNA
Source: RNAcentral
GUCGAACGAUGAUCCCNGCUUGCUGGGGGAUUAGUGGCGAACGGGUGAGUAACACGUGAGUAACCUGCCCUUGACUCUGGGAUAAGCCUGGGAAACUGGGUCUAAUACCGGAUAUGACUGUCUGACGCAUGUCAGGUGGUGGAAAGCUUUUGUGGUUUUGGAUGGACUCGCGGCCUAUCAGCUUGUUGGUGGGGUAAUGGCCUACCAAGGCGACGACGGGUAGCCGGCCUGAGAGGGUGACCGGCCACACUGGGACUGAGACACGGCCCAGACUCCUACGGGAGGCAGCAGUGGGGAAUAUUGCACAAUGGGCGCAAGCCUGAUGCAGCGACGCCGCGUGAGGGAUGACGGCCUUCGGGUUGUAAACCUCUUUCAGUAGGGAAGAAGCGAAAGUGACGGUACCUGCAGAAGAAGCGCCGGCUAACUACGUGCCAGCAGCCGCGGUAAUACGUAGGGCGCAAGCGUUAUCCGGAAUUAUUGGGCGUAAAGAGCUCGUAGGCGGUUUGUCGCGUCUGCUGUGAAAGACCGGGGCUCAACUCCGGUUCUGCAGUGGGUACGGGCAGACUAGAGUGCAGUAGGGGAGACUGGAAUUCCUGGUGUAGCGGUGAAAUGCGCAGAUAUCAGGAGGAACACCGAUGGCGAAGGCAGGUCUCUGGGCUGUAACUGACGCUGAGGAGCGAAAGCAUGGGGAGCGAACAGGAUUAGAUACCCUGGUAGUCCAUGCCGUAAACGUUGGGCACUAGGUGUGGGGGACAUUCCACGUUUUCCGCGCCGUAGCUAACGCAUUAAGUGCCCCGCCUGGGGAGUACGGCCGCAAGGCUAAAACUCAAAGGAAUUGACGGGGGCCCGCACAAGCGGCGGAGCAUGCGGAUUAAUUCGAUGCAACGCGAAGAACCUUACCAAGGCUUGACAUGAACCGGUAAUACCUGGAAACAGGUGCCCCGCUUGCGGUCGGUUUACAGGUGGUGCAUGGUUGUCGUCAGCUCGUGUCGUGAGAUGUUGGGUUAAGUCCCGCAACGAGCGCAACCCUCGUUCUAUGUUGCCAGCGCGUUAUGGCGGGGACUCAUAGGAGACUGCCGGGGUCAACUCGGAGGAAGGUGGGGACGACGUCAAAUCAUCAUGCCCCUUAUGUCUUGGGCUUCACGCAUGCUACAAUGGCCGGUACAAAGGGUUGCGAUACUGUGAGGUGGAGCUAAUCCCAAAAAGCCGGUCUCAGUUCGGAUUGGGGUCUGCAACUCGACCCCAUGAAGUCGGAGUCGCUAGUAAUCGCAGAUCA